GGAAAAUUAAAGUUAAAAUAUUUAUUGAUAAAAUUGUGGGGCACUCAUAAACAAGAAUUAUGGCAUUUGCCAGUAAAAGAAUGGUACUGUAAAAGAAGGGAACUGCUAAGUGAAAUAAUCCAGUCCCUCCAAAAAUCAAAGUCAGAAUGUUCUCUUUGAUAUGUGAAUGCUAACCCACAACAAGAAAGGGGAAGAUUAGAAGUUUACUAUGAAGGGCAGAGAGGGAGGAUGAGAAUAAAAAAGAGAGUAGAAUGAACCAAACGUAUCUUUCCUAUCCUUACAUAUGAAUAGACAACCAAUGUAACUCCAUAUCAUAUACAACCAUAAUCAUGGGAUCCUAAUUGGAACAAGUUAUACUUAUUCUAUGUAUGUAUAAUAUAUCAAAAUACACUUUACUGUCAUGUGUAUCUAGAAAGAAACAAACAAACCAGCAUGUUUAUGGACCAUCUGGCCCAGACUUGCUCCCAUCAUUCCCUAAACUGGCUAGCUUUUUAGGAACAGAAAGGGGGCAUUCACUGUCCUCUCACUAACUCCAGUUGAUUUUUCUAACAAUUACUCAGCACCAUGCUAGGGUAUUUGCAUGAAUGAAUGGCAAAUAUUUUUAUGAGGAGGAUGAUAUUGAGGACCAUAUCUUCCUUAAACCUUAACUGUCAAAAAUAUCAAAGCAAAAUUUGAGUGCUGGUUUUAAUGACUAUGAUGGACUCUACUCUCUGGGUAUUUGUGCUUUUCCUUCUUCUAAUUAUAGAUUUACCUAGACCCAGGAUUCCAUUCAUUCUCUUAACCCUGUCCACAGCUCCUUGAGCACCCUGUAUGAAAGUUUCUUCACCUUACUCUCUUUCCUCCUCACAGAGCACAUGAAGUGCAUAUUUGUAAUUUUAUUUAUGAUAAAAAAGUAUUGCUAUCACAUUUGUUGUUCUUAUUGUUUUACUUGAUCAAUUAAGCAUAAAAAAUAUGCAACCAUGGGGCUGGCAUUGUGACUCAGCAGGAGAUACAGCACUCGCCUAGCACGUGCCAGGUGCUGGGUUGGAUCCUCAG
RNAcentral lists this long non-coding RNA (1035 nucleotides) under Marmota monax (woodchuck). The record is from RNAcentral. Lineage: Eukaryota; Metazoa; Chordata; Mammalia; Rodentia; Sciuridae.